AUUGAACGCUGGCGGCAGGCCUAACACAUGCAAGUCGAGCGAGCGGCGGACGGGUGAGUAAUGUUUGGGAAACUGCCUGAUGGAGGGGGAUAACUACUGGAAACGGUAUCUAAUACCGCAUACCAUCAGAUGUGCCCAGAUGGGAUUAGCUGGUAGGUGGGGGAACGGCUCACCUCGGCGACUAGCCCUAGCUGGUCUGUGAGGAUGACCUGCCACACUCGAACUAAGACACGGUCCAGACGCCUACGGGAGGGAGCAGUGGGGAAUAUUGGACAAUGGGCGCAAGCCUGAUGAAGCCAUGCCGCGUGUGUGAAGAAGGCCUUCGGGUUGAAAGCACUUUCAGCGGGGAGGCGUUACCCGCAGAAGAAGCACCGGCUAACUCCGUGCCAGCAGCCGCGGUAAUUC
This 405-nucleotide ribosomal RNA is filed under the name uncultured bacterium. Its description in RNAcentral is "partial 16S ribosomal RNA". It matches the Rfam family "Bacterial small subunit ribosomal RNA", at positions 30 to 526 of the family's 1533-position model. The record is from RNAcentral.